AAAGUGAUUUUACAAAAAUGACACAAUAUGCAACUGAGCUACAAAUGUAUGUUGGUCUGAGAGAAAUUGAGAAAACUACAUCACUGAAGCAGCAAAAUACAUAGAUGAAUUAAAAAGUGGAGACAAUUUGGAGGAAAAGAACUUAGAGGUAACCAUUUCAUCUGCCCUGCAAUCAAUUUUACAAGAGGUCAAAUCGUUUGGCGAUAUUAAUAUCAAUACCACACAAUCUACUCUUCAAAUUAAGGCGGGAAGAAAAGAUCAAGCACAGAACUUAGUACCAACUGUUCCUAGAAUUGAAGAAAUUAAACCAACAAAAUUGAGAACUCUGACAAUUCCAGAAGAUAUGAAGUCUACAAGUUUACCUGUCUGUAGGAUAUUACCUGAUGGUAAAUGUCUUAUUCUUAAU
RNAcentral lists this long non-coding RNA (406 nucleotides) under Mytilus galloprovincialis (Mediterranean mussel). The record is from RNAcentral. Lineage: Eukaryota; Metazoa; Mollusca; Bivalvia; Mytilida; Mytilidae.